GUGAGGAAUAUUGGUCAAUGGACGAGAGUCUGAACCAGCCAAGUAGCGUGAAGGAUGACUGCCCUAUGGGUUGUAAACUUCUUUUAUACGGGAAUAAAGUGAGGCACGUGUGCCUUUUUGUAUGUACCGUAUGAAUAAGGAUCGGCUAACUCCGUGCCAGCAGCCGCGGUAAUACGGAGGAUCCGAGCGUUAUCCGGAUUUAUUGGGUUUAAAGGGAGCGUAGGCGGACGCUUAAGUCAGUUGUGAAAGUUUGCGGCUCAACCGUAAAAUUGCAGUUGAUACUGGGUGUCUUGAGUACAGUAGAGGCAGGCGGAAUUCGUGGUGUAGCGGUGAAAUGCUUAGAUAUCACGAAGAACUCCGAUUGCGAAGGCAGCCUGCUGGACUGUAACUGACGCUGAUGCUCGAAAGUGUGGGUAUCAAACAGGAUUAGAUACCCUGGUAGUCC
RNAcentral lists this ribosomal RNA (445 nucleotides) under uncultured bacterium. Its description in RNAcentral is "partial 16S ribosomal RNA". It matches the Rfam family "Bacterial small subunit ribosomal RNA", at positions 354 to 796 of the family's 1533-position model. The record is from RNAcentral.